GAUGAAGAACGUAGCGAAAUGCGAUAAGUAAUGUGAAUUGCAGAAUUCAGUGAAUCAUCGAAUCUUUGAACGCACAUUGCGCCCCCUGGUAUUCCGGGGGGCAUGCCUGUCCGAGCGUCAUUACAACCCUCAAGCUCAGCUUGGUGUUGGGCCCCGCCGCCCCGGCGGGCCCUAAAGUCAGUGGCGGUGCCGUCCGGCUCCGAGCGUAGUAAUUCUUCUCGCUCUGGAGGUCCGGUCGUGUGCUCGCCAGCAACCCCCAAUUUUUUUCAGGUUGACCUCGGAUCAGGUAGGGAUACCCGCUGAACUCAAGCAUAUCAAUAAGCGGAGGA
Molecule: unclassified non-coding RNA, 329 nt
Filed under: soil metagenome
Description: partial contains 5.8S ribosomal RNA, internal transcribed spacer 2, and large subunit ribosomal RNA
Rfam family: 5.8S ribosomal RNA (bases 1-120)
Source: RNAcentral